GAGGACUUGACCUGGAAUGGUACCCUGGAGCAGCACAUUACCUUCCUCCCCAUCGGCAACCACAGGCUGUUUUGAAACUGUCAAAGUCUCAUUCUCACUUCCAGCUGAGUUAGAAGAGGACAUUUGACAAUCAGAGGGCUGGUGUAUGUCUCGGCUGCUAUUUUCCAUUUUCUCCAGCAGCUGUUUCUACUUCCAGCUGAGAAAAAAUUAUUUUGGAAAUACUUCAACCA
This 230-nucleotide long non-coding RNA is filed under the name Gallus gallus (chicken). The record is from RNAcentral. Lineage: Eukaryota; Metazoa; Chordata; Aves; Galliformes; Phasianidae.